UACGGGGGGAGCAAGCGUUGUUCGGAUUUACUGGGCGUAAAGGGCGCGUAGGCGGUCAGUGCAAGUCAGUUGUGAAAUCUCCGGGCUUAACUCGGAAAGGUCAACUGAUACUGCUCGACUAGAGUGCGGAAGGGGCAACUGGAAUUCUUGGUGUAGCGGUGAAAUGCGUAGAUAUCAGGAGGAACACCGGUGGCGAAGGCGGAUCUCUGGGCCUGAUCUGACGCUGAGGCGCGAAAGCUAGGGGAGCAAACAGG
This 254-nucleotide ribosomal RNA is filed under the name uncultured bacterium. RNAcentral describes it as "partial 16S ribosomal RNA". It matches the Rfam family "Bacterial small subunit ribosomal RNA", at positions 524 to 776 of the family's 1533-position model. The record is from RNAcentral.